Long non-coding RNA from Camelus dromedarius (Arabian camel), 4579 nucleotides. RefSeq lists it as uncharacterized. The transcript has 4 exons. Lineage: Eukaryota; Metazoa; Chordata; Mammalia; Artiodactyla; Camelidae. The record is from RefSeq and is a predicted model, not a curated record.
CCCCUGGCAUCUCGGCCGCUGGGCGCGGCGGCGCGCAUGCGCAGCUCUCGGGGCUGGCCCCGGCGCACCUUUUCUCCCUCCUGCCACUUCGUGAGAGCUCCGCCGCCCUUGUAACCGCUGACUCCCGCUCCACCCACGCCGCCCCUACUCCGCCCACUCCCGAGCGCCCAGGACCCUGGGACUUGCCCGAUGUAUCUGAAGCCUUGGUGACUGGUUCUCUGGAAGGCCUUGGGCCUGGCAAGGCAAUCCCAGUUCCUCUGCUCCCCCUUAACUCUUACCCUUCAGGAACCUACCAAGAGAAGGGCGUCAUCCCUUGACAUGUCACAAGAAGAGGGCGUUGGCUCUCAGUCAGCCUGCCUUCUUCAGCUGCGGGCACUACAGCUUAGCAGUCAUGGCAGGCAGGGCUUAGCACCCACACUGGCCUUGUUGAAAGACAAGGCUUCUGUCAUCCUGGUUUCCCGGCCCCGGAUAGUUCCUCACUAACUUUUUCAAUACGUGUGGGCAGAAAUCAACAGGACCCAUUUUUUUUUAAUUUAAAAGCUUUAGUAAAAAGUUCUGUAUACUUUGACAGUUCUGAAAACUUCACAGAUUUAACUGAAACAGCAGCAGAGCUAUCUGGUUUCUAUAAGGUGAGCUUGAUGGCCUGGUACAAGCUCCCUAUUCACUGCAUUUCUUUGCCUCCCAAGUUUCCAGGGGUGUACCCCUAGUCAAUAAUAGUUCUUAACACACGUACUUAUGGAGGGGCAGUGGCCGUGGCUCCCUUCCAACUCAUUAACUAAUAUAACCCCGUCCUGCUGCACCAGACUUGGGGCCAGAGCUUGGUCAUGACCUUCUGGGUCCUCAUUCUUGUAGUGUUGUGACCUUUGUUCAAUCACUUCAUCUUUGAGGCUUUGUGCAAAGAGGGGAUUAUAUGACUCUUAUAACCUUCCAGAUCUGAUACCUAGGAUUCUACUCUAGAAAGCUGACUGUGUUUGUUAAUACCUUGUAAUUUCAUUCUUUUCCUAAGAGUUACUAUCCAAUUUUCAUCUCUAAGCCCUUCCUAUAGGAAACUGCCCCUUCUACAGAGUGGAUAAAGCUGUCCUGGUCUCUCCUUUUGUAUUCACUUUUCCCCCCUCAUAUCUCUAAGUAAUAGUGUUUAGAGACAGCCCAGAGAGCUGGACUCUUGGCUUGUCUGCCACAGGGCUUGUCUGUAGACGCACACAUGCGCUCAUGUGUAUAUGUGUAUUUCCAGUCUUAAAGGAAUGUGGUCCUUGGGCACUUUCAUUCUGUGCCCCCUCAGCUCCCACCACCCCCACUUAAAUUCCAGUGAAAAGUUAAAAUGAAUGCCAAGGUGCUCUAGAAGAAAAAAAGAGGAUUCACUAAAAGACCAGAUCUGUGAGUAGAGCUGUUUUGCUUUGGGGAUAGAGAUGAGGGAGGCUACUGAGACAGCCAGUGUCACUUCCGUCUCAAGCUUGGUUUUGGCUGUAACCUGGACCCAACACUUGGUUCACAGCUCCCUACAGCUGUGGUCUCUGUACAUCACCUCUUCAUUUGAAACAUCUCAGAGUUUGGAGUAUGAUCACUCUGGUGUCCUUGUCAUCAAAAUGCAUUUUAUAAUUUUUUCAAAACAACAGGUCUGUGACCAUUUGUACGAGUCUUUCUUCUCCAGUAGUUCAUUUACUCCUUCCCUCAACCCUGGGAGGUAGGAAGGGCAGGAAAUGUUCUUCCUGCUAUUUUUUAACAGCGAAUUAAAACCAAGGUCCAGAUUUUAAGGGUAACAUGGCCAGAAGUAAAAUCUGGGUCCCCAGGGUCCAAGUCCAGCACUUCUCUGUGACACGAUACUGCAGCCCUUUGCUGGACACCAUACAAAGCAAAUUGAACAGAUGUGGUCUCUGCUCUCUGGAAGUUUGGACUCAAAUGGACAGCCAUGAUUCUGGCAAACAUAAAGGGACAAAAGUGAUUCAAUCAACUCACCUAUGCCAAUAAAUAAAUGGGUUAAAUAGAUAAGGAAAGUCAUGUUUACCUGGCCUACUAAUUUUUUUUUAAUUCCAAUUGAGUAGAAAGGACAGUGUUAGUGAGGCUAAGGUUUUAGUCCAGUCCCAUCUGCCUACUUGCUUUGCAAAUGGAAAACUAUUUGUAGCUGCGCUGCAUGCCUCUUCCCCUCCUUGUCUUCAAUGUUCUAUCAACGUUCCUGAAGCUUCUACCAAGUGUCUGUCGAGCAAGAGUCUCUGAAAUAAUGCUUCAAAGGGGCGCAUACAGAAAUGUAGGAGUCCACCAGAUGGCUAACUAGAUGGCUAAACCACUUCGAUGGGAGAUCUCAAGUCCCGCCUGACAGCACCAGAUUGCACAGUAUGCUGCAUGGAGAGUGGCCUGGAGAUGACCAGGAAGUGACCAUCUGCUGGAAGCCCUAACUGGUGGCAGGGCUGAGCCUCAACCAGCAGACAAGAGAUCUCAGGAAAGAAAGCCUAAGACAGAACAUCACCUACUCUCUAAUAUUAUCCAACACUCAGAUGGACCCCCAGCUGAGACUGGGAACAGACAGGGGCAACUUCCGUCCCUCGUUUCAUUUUGCCAGCAGAGAGGAAGAGGUGAGCGCUCCAUUGAGAAACAUGGUGCCGUUCAGAGGGGCUGCGUGUUCCUCCUGUGCCAGAGAAUCCCCUGGUGCCUGGGGACCUCCUUCCCUAUCGUGUUGGGUGUUGAUGGUCCUGUGGAAAUGGACCCCCUAUGAAGCUAGGUUUUGCUCUGUGUGGCAUUGACCAUGAAUGUCUUUUUCCUGACUAGGCUGUGUUCUCAGCACGUACUGGGCACCAAGAUGUUCCCAAUUUAUUGAGUACUUUCCACUGUCCUGUUUCACCUCUUAUCCCACACAGUCCUUCCAACUGCUCUUUGAGUAGGUAUCUCCAUUUCACAGAUGAGGAAACCGAGACAGAGAGAAAUGAAAUAGGAAACGAUGUAAGGUCACAUUAAGUCUCACGUGACAGGCUCAGGAUUGAACCCAGGUAGUCAGACUCCUAAGCCUGCUCUUUUUUUUUUUUUAACAUUUUUUAUUGAUUUAUAAUCAUUUUACAAUGUUGUGUCAAAUUCCAGUGUUCAGCACAAUUUUUCAGUUAUUCAUGGACAUAUACACACUCAUUGUCACAUUUUUUUCUCUGUGAGUUAUCAUAAUAUUUUGUGUAUAUUUCCCUGUGCUAUACAGUGUAGUCUAUUCUACAAUUUUGAAAUCCCAGUCUAUCCCUUCCCACCCUCCACCCCCCUGGUAACCACAAGUCUGUAUUCUCUGUCUGUGAGUCUAUUUCUGUCCUUUAUUUAUGCUUUGUUUUUGUUUGUUUGUUUGUUUUUGUUUUUGUUUUUUAGAUUCCACAUAUGAGCGAUCUCAUAUGGUAUUUUUCUUUCUCUUUCUCUAAGCCUGCUCUUUUAACCAUAAUGCUAUACUGCCCAGAACUCCAAUUCCGUCACCCCACUCUCCUGCUCAGAAUUCUUGAGGUGGGGAUGGUAUAGCUCAGUGGUAGUGUGCAUGCCAUGCACGAGGUCCUGGGUUCAAUCCCCAGUACCUCCAUUAAAAAAAAUAGAAUUCUUGAGUGGCUUAUCCUGUGAUAAAUAGGAUAAUGGAGCCCUAAAGAUGUCCACAUCCUAAACCCUGGAACCUGUGAAUGUGUUACCUUACCUUGAUGAAAGGGACUUUGCAGAUGGGAUUAAGUUAAGGAUCUUGAAAUUCGGACCCUAGCCUGGAUUAUCCGAUGGGUCCAAUCUAACCACAAAGGUCCUUCAAAGAGAGGCAGGAGCAUUAGAGUCCAAGAAGGAGAUGUGACCAUGGAAACAGAGGGCAGAAUGGUGUGGCUGCUGGCUUUGAAGAUGGGAGAAGGACAUGAGCUAAGAAAUGUGGGCAGUUUCUAGAAACUGAAGCGGGCAAAGAACUGACUCUCCGCAAGAGCCUCCAGGAGGAACACAUCCUACUGAUGCCCUGAUGUUGGCCCAGUGCAACUUCUGACCCCAGAACUGUCAGUAAACCUGUGUUGUCUGAAGCCACUAGGUUUGUGGUUAUUUGUUACAGCAGCAGCCAGAAACUAAUACAGCUCCCCUUGCUUAAAGGGAAAUCUGAACUGCUUUGCAAGGCAAUCAAGGGCCCCGUGUUCUCUUCCCCUUGGCUGACUGCCUAGCUGUUAGCUCAUGGCCACCCCACUCCCACCCCCACCACGCUCUACACACUGAACUUCGUCAGGAUCCUCAGCAGGCCAUGUCCUUUCUUACGUCAAUGCCUUUGCUUGUGCUGUCUCUUCCACCUGGAACACCCUCUUCUCACUUGUUUGCCUGGCAAACUCCUCAUCCUUUAUGUCUCAGCUAAAACAAUACCUCCUCUGUGAAGCUUUUCCUCCUUCCCCCAAAGGAACGUAGGGCUCCUUUCCUGCAUUUCAUGCCUCUGCCUCAUUUCAUGUGCACUCCCAUCAAAGCCGUAUUUUAAGGACCCAUCUGUUCCCUUCCUGAAUUAUAAGCUGUUUGAGGGCACAGGACCUCUCUUUCCACCUUUAUCCUCCCUUAGCACCUAGCAGGGUCCCCAGCACCUAGCAAGGUGCCCUGCACAUCAAAUAAAGUUCUCCAGAGA